Molecule: ribosomal RNA, 1133 nt
Filed under: uncultured eukaryote
Lineage: Eukaryota
Description: SSU rRNA
Rfam family: Eukaryotic small subunit ribosomal RNA
Source: RNAcentral
ACCUGGUUGAUUCUGCCAGUAGUCAUAUGCUUGUCUCAAAGAUUAAGCCAUGCAUGUCUAAGUAUAAGCAAUUAUACCGCGAAACUGCGAAUGGCUCAUUAAAUCAGUUAUCGUUUAUUUGAUAGUACCUUACUACAUGGAUAACCGUGGUAAUUCUAGAGCUAAUACAUGCUAAAAAUCCCGACUUCGGAAGGGAUGUAUUUAUUAGAUUAAAAACCAAUGCCCUCCGGGGCUCACUGGUGAUUCAUGAUAACUUCUCGAAUCGCACGGCCUUGCGCCGGCGAUGGUUCAUUCAAAUUUCUGCCCUAUCAACUUUCGACGGCUGGGUCUUGGCCAGCCGUGGUGACAACGGGUAACGGAGGGUUAGGGCUCGACCCCGGAGAAGGAGCCUGAGAAACGGCUACUACAUCCAAGGAAGGCAGCAGGCGCGCAAAUUACCCAAUCCCGACACGGGGAGGUAGUGACAAUAAAUACUGAUACAGGGCUCUUUCGGGUCUUGUAAUUGGAAUGAGUACAAUUUAAAUCCCUUAACGAGGAACAAUUGGAGGGCAAGUCUGGUGCCAGCAGCCGCGGUAAUUCCAGCUCCAAUAGCGUAUAUUAAAGUUGUUGAGGUUAAAAAGCUCGUAGUUGAACCUUGGGCCUAGCCGGCCGGUCCGCCUCACCGCGUGCACUGGCUCGGCUGGGCCUUUCCUUCUGGAGAACCGCAUGCCCUUCACUGGGUGUGCCGGGGAACCAGGACUUUUACUCUGAACAAAUUAGAUCGCUUAAAGAAGGCCUAUGCUCGAAUACAUUAGCAUGGAAUAAUAGAAUAGGACGUGUGGUUCUAUUUUGUUGGUUUCUAGGACCGCCGUAAUGAUUAAUAGGGACAGUCGGGGGCAUCAGUAUUCAAUUGUCAGAGGUGAAAUUCUUGGAUUUAUUGAAGACUAACUACUGCGAAAGCAUUUGCCAAGGAUGUUUUCAUUAAUCAGGAACGAAAGUUAGGGGAUCGAAGACGAUCAGAUACCGUCGUAGUCUUAACCAUAAACUAUGCCGAUUAGGGAUCGGGCGGUGUUAUUUUUUGACCCGCUCGGCACCUUACGAUAAAUCAAAAUGUUUGGGCUCCUGGGUGAGUAUGGUCGCAAGGCUGAAACUUA